GAAGCCAAAGGACCACAAUCAAAAUCAUCUUCACAAACACAAUCACAACUCGGGUUUUCUAAAUAUUCAAGCAAAUCAAGAUCAUCUAUGCCUGGUUGAUCAUUUUGCUCACCCUCACUAGUUGUUGGCAAUUCACAUACCAAUGUAGACUCACCUUGUUUUUCACAAGGGUCAACUAGUGUGUGAAUACUCUCGUCACUUGGUAAUAAAACCUUAGUCAAGUUGUAAGUGCUAUCACCAGAUGGACACAAAUCAUUCUCAC
This 262-nucleotide long non-coding RNA is filed under the name Capsicum annuum. RNAcentral's name for it is "long non-coding RNA (CANN_LNC003502)". The record is from RNAcentral. Lineage: Eukaryota; Viridiplantae; Streptophyta; Magnoliopsida; Solanales; Solanaceae.